CGGAGUGUGGCUCAGCUUGGUAGAGCGCUACGUUCGGGACGUAGAGGCCGCAGGUUCGAAUCCUGUCACUCCGA
Molecule: transfer RNA, 74 nt
Organism: Lachnoclostridium sp. An76
Lineage: Bacteria; Bacillati; Bacillota; Clostridia; Lachnospirales; Lachnospiraceae
Rfam family: tRNA
About the family: Transfer RNA (tRNA) molecules are approximately 80 nucleotides in length. Their secondary structure includes four short double-helical elements and three loops (D, anti-codon, and T loops).
Source: Rfam